Molecule: non-coding RNA, 1815 nt
Organism: Solanum tuberosum (potato)
Lineage: Eukaryota; Viridiplantae; Streptophyta; Magnoliopsida; Solanales; Solanaceae
Source: Rfam
UACUUGGUUGAUCCUGCUAGUAGUCAUAUGGUUGUCUCAGAGAUUAAGCCAUGCAUGUGUAAGUAUAAACAAAUUUAUACUGUGAAAUUACGAAUGGCUCAUUCAAUCAGUUAUAGUUUGUUUGAUGGUAUCUACUACUCGGAUAACCAUAGUAAUUCUAGAGCUAAUAUGUGCAAAAAACAACGACAUGUGGAAGAGAUACAUUUAUUAGAUGGAAGGUCGACGCGGGAUCUCCCCAUUAUCGCGAUGAUUCAUGAUAACUCGACGGAUCGCACGACCAUCGUGAUGGUGAUGCAUCAUUCAAAUUUCUGCCCUAUCAACUUUCGAUGGUAGGAUAGUGGCCUACCAUGGUAGUGACAGGUGAUGGAGAAUUAGGGUUCGAUUCCUGAGAGGGAGCCUGAGAAAUGACUCCCACAUCCAAUGAAGGCCGUAGGUGCGCAAAUUACCCAACUCUGACACGGGGAGGUAGUGACAAUAAAUAACAGUACUGGGCUGUACGAGUUUGGUAAUUGAAAUGAGUACAAUCUAUAUCCCUUAACGAGGAUCCAUUGGAGGGCAAGUCAAGUGCUAGCAGUUGCGGUAAUUCCAGCUCCAAUAGCGUAUAUUUAAGUUGUUGUAGUUAAAAACCUCGUAGUUGGAAUUUGGGAUGGGUCGGUUGGUUCGUCCUAGGUGUGCACCGGUCGUCUCAUCCCUUCUGUAGGCGAUGCGCUCCUGGCCUUAAUUGGCUGGGUUGUGCCUCCAGCGAUUUUACUUUGAACAAAUUAGAAGGCUCAAAGCAAGCCUACGCUCUGUGUACAUUAGCACGGGAUAAAAUUAUAGGGUUUCGGUCCUAUUACAUUUUGCCUUCGGGAUCAAAUUAAUGAUUAACAGGGACCGUCGGGGGCAUUCGUUUUUUCAUAGUCAGAGGUGAAAUUUUUAGAUUUAUGAAAGACGAACGACUACGAAAGCAUUUUCCAAGGAUGUUUAAUUUAAUCAAGAACGAAAGUUUGGGGCUCGAAGACGAUCAUAUACCGUCCUAGUCUCAACCAAAAAUGAUGCCGACCAGGGAUUGGCAGAUGUUGCUUUUAGGACUCCGCCGGCACCUUAUGAGAAAUCAAAGUUUUCUGGUUUCUUUGGAGGGGGUGUAUUGUCGCAAGACUGAAACUUAAAGGAAUUGAUGGAAGGGCACCACCAGGAGUGUAGCCUGCGGCUUAAUUUGACUAAACACGGGGAAACUUACCAGGUCCAUACAUAGUAAGGAUUGACAAACUAAGAGCUCUUUCUUGAUUCUAUGGGUGGUGGUGCAUGGCCCUUCUUAGUUGGUGGAGCUAUUUGACUGGUUAAUUCAGUUAACGAACGAGACCUCAGCCUAAUAACUAUCUAUGUGGUGGUAUCCCUUCGCGGCCAACUUCUUAGAGGGACUAGGUCCUUUUAGGAUGCGGAAGUUUGAGGCAACAACAGGUUUGUGACGCCCUUAGAUGUUCUCGGCCGAACACGUGCUACACGGAUGUAUUCAACGAGCUUAUAGCAUUGGCCGAAACGCCUGGGUAAUCUUUGAAAUUUCAUAGUGAUGGGGAUAAAUCAUUGCAAUUAUUGGUCUUCAACGAGGAAUACCUAUUAAGCGCGAGUCAUCAGCUCGCGUUGACUAUGUCCAUGCCCUUUAUACACACCGCCCGUUGCUCCUACCGAUUGAAUGAUUAGGUGAAAUGUUUAGAUUGCGGCGACAUGGGCGGUUCGGUUCCCGCAACAUCAUGAGUAGUCCAUUGAACAUUAUCAUUUAGAGGAAGGAGAAGUCGUAACAAGGUUUUUGUAGUUGAACCUGCGGAAGGAUCAUUG